Molecule: ribosomal RNA, 497 nt
Filed under: uncultured bacterium
Lineage: Bacteria
Description: partial 16S ribosomal RNA
Rfam family: Bacterial small subunit ribosomal RNA
Source: RNAcentral
GAUGAACGCUGGCGGCGUGCCUAAUACAUGCAAGUCGAGCGAACAGACGAGGAGCUUGCUCCUCUGACGUUAGCGGCGGACGGGUGAGUAACACGUGGAUAACCUACCUAUAAGACUGGGAUAACUUCGGGACACCGGAGCUAAUACCGGAUAAUAUAUUGAACCGCAUGGUUCAAUAGUGAAAGACGGUUUUGCUGUCACUUAUAGAUGGAUCCGCGCCGCAUUAGCUAGUUGGUAAGGUAACGGCUUACCAAGGCAACGAUGCGUAGCCGACCUGAGAGGGUGGUCGGCCACACUGGAGCUGAGCCACGGUCCAGGCUCCUGCGGUAGGCAGCAGUAGGGAAUCUUCCGCAGUGGGCGAAAGCCUGACGGAGCAACGCCGCGUGAGUGAUGAAGGUCUUCGGAUCGUAAAACUCUGUUAUUAGGUAAGAACAAAUGUGUAAGUAACUAUGCACGUCUUGACGGUACCUAAUCAGAAAGCCACGGCUAACUACGUG